UCUGAUACAAUCGAAAUGGGUACGCCAUGCAAUCUCACUAUCUCAUCCAGAUCAACUGAGCGAAUCUCUCUCAAAAUCUCCUCUUGGAUCUCUAAAUUCAUAGGCACACACAGUCGGUCCCUGCACCGCAGUACUCCUGAACUAUCCACCAUAAAGCUCUCUGCCUGUCCCCUCUCUAACUGUUCUCGAAUCCUCAAUAUGUGCGGAUCUCCACUCUAUUUCUCUCGGAUCCUAUCCAACAGA
RNAcentral lists this long non-coding RNA (243 nucleotides) under Ananas comosus (pineapple). RNAcentral's name for it is "long non-coding RNA (ACOM_LNC020941)". The record is from RNAcentral. Lineage: Eukaryota; Viridiplantae; Streptophyta; Magnoliopsida; Poales; Bromeliaceae.